AGAGUUUGAUCCUGGCUCAGAUUGAACGCUGGCGGCAUGCUUUACACAUGCAAGUCGGACGGCAGCACGGGGAAGCUUGCUUCUCGGGUGGCGAGUGGCGAACGGGUGAGUAACAUAUCGGAACGUACCGGGUAGCGGGGGAUAACUGAUCGAAAGAUCAGCUAAUACCGCAUACGUCUUGAGAGGGAAAGCAGGGGACCUUCGGGCCUUGCGCUAUCCGAGCGGCCGAUAUCUGAUUAGCUGGUUGGCGGGGUAAAGGCCCACCAAGGCGACGAUCAGUAGCGGGUCUGAGAGGAUGAUCCGCCACACUGGGACUGAGACACGGCCCAGACUCCUACGGGAGGCAGCAGUGGGGAAUUUUGGACAAUGGGCGCAAGCCUGAUCCAGCCAUGCCGCGUGUCUGAAGAAGGCCUUCGGGUUGUAAAGGACUUUUGUCAGGGAAGAAAAGGCCGUUGCCAAUAUCGGCGGCCGAUGACGGUACCUGAAGAAUAAGCACCGGCUAACUACGUGCCAGCAGCCGCGGUAAUACGUAGGGUGCGAGCGUUAAUCGGAAUUACUGGGCGUAAAGCGGGCGCAGACGGUUACUUAAGCAGGAUGUGAAAUCCCCGGGCUCAACCCGGGAACUGCGUUCUGAACUGGGUGACUCGAGUGUGUCAGAGGGAGGUGGAAUUCCACGUGUAGCAGUGAAAUGCGUAGAGAUGUGGAGGAAUACCGAUGGCGAAGGCAGCCUCCUGGGAUAACACUGACGUUCAUGUCCGAAAGCGUGGGUAGCAAACAGGAUUAGAUACCCUGGUAGUCCACGCCCUAAACGAUGUCAAUUAGCUGUUGGGCAACUUGAUUGCUUGGUAGCGUAGCUAACGCGUGAAAUUGACCGCCUGGGGAGUACGGUCGCAAGAUUAAAACUCAAAGGAAUUGACGGGGACCCGCACAAGCGGUGGAUGAUGUGGAUUAAUUCGAUGCAACGCGAAGAACCUUACCUGGUUUUGACAUGUGCGGAAUCCUCCGGAGACGGAGGAGUGCCUUCGGGAGCCGUAACACAGGUGCUGCAUGGCUGUCGUCAGCUCGUGUCGUGAGAUGUUGGGUUAAGUCCCGCAACGAGCGCAACCCUUGUCAUUAGUUGCCAUCAUUCGGUUGGGCACUCUAAUGAGACUGCCGGUGACAAGCCGGAGGAAGGUGGGGAUGACGUCAAGUCCUCAUGGCCCUUAUGACCAGGGCUUCACACGUCAUACAAUGGUCGGUACAGAGGGUAGCCAAGCCGCGAGGCGGAGCCAAUCUCACAAAACCGAUCGUAGUCCGGAUUGCACUCUGCAACUCGAGUGCAUGAAGUCGGAAUCGCUAGUAAUCGCAGGUCAGCAUACUGCGGUGAAUACGUUCCCGGGUCUUGUACACACCGCCCGUCACACCAUGGGAGUGGGGGAUACCAGAAGUAGGUAGGGUAACCGCAAGGAGUCCGCUUACCACGGUAUGCUUCAUGACUGGGGUGAAGUCGUAACAAGGUAGCCGUAGGGGAACCUGCGGCUG
Molecule: ribosomal RNA, 1521 nt
Filed under: Neisseria gonorrhoeae
Lineage: Bacteria; Pseudomonadati; Pseudomonadota; Betaproteobacteria; Neisseriales; Neisseriaceae
Description: bacterial SSU rRNA
Rfam family: Bacterial small subunit ribosomal RNA
Source: RNAcentral